GAGGGGGUAGCAGAGCCUGGUCAAAUCCGAAAGGAGGCUAGAUGCGCAGGACUUAAGAUCCUGUCCCUUAGUGGGUACAAGGGUUCAAAUCCCUUCCCCCUCA
RNAcentral lists this transfer RNA (103 nucleotides) under Candidatus Woesearchaeota archaeon. RNAcentral's name for it is "tRNA-Leu". It matches the Rfam family "tRNA". From Rfam's summary of the family: Transfer RNA (tRNA) molecules are approximately 80 nucleotides in length. Their secondary structure includes four short double-helical elements and three loops (D, anti-codon, and T loops). The record is from RNAcentral. Lineage: Archaea; Nanobdellati; Candidatus Woesearchaeota.